Molecule: ribosomal RNA, 511 nt
Filed under: uncultured organism
Description: bacterial SSU rRNA
Rfam family: Bacterial small subunit ribosomal RNA
Source: RNAcentral
GUCGAACGAGAAAGGCAUAUNCGGAUGCUAAGUAUAGUAGGCAACGGGUAGAGUAACGCGUAGGGAAACCUGCCCUUUGGUUGGGGACAACACUUCUAACGAGGUAGCUAAUACCGAAUACUGUCAUCGGAUCGCAUGUACUGGUGAUGAAAGGCGGCCUCUACAUAGUAAGCUGUCGCCAAAGGAUGGUCCCGCGUUCCAUUAGCUUGUUGGUGAGGUAACGGCUCACCAAGGCGAUGAUAGAUAGCCGGCCUUAGCGGGUAGACCGGCCACACUAGGACUGAGAUACGGCCCAGACUUCUACGGAGGGCAGCAGUCGAGAGGCUUCCACAAUGGGGGAAACCCUAGAUAGGAGCGACGCCGCGUAGGUAGAUAGAAGGUAGUACGGAUCGUAAAGCCCUUUCGACAGGGACGAACGGCAUAGGGGUAAAUAUCUCCCAAGCAAAGACGGUACCUGUAAAAGAAGCUCCGGCUAACUCCGUGCCAAGCAGCCGCGGUAAGACGGAGGGAG